This 253-nucleotide ribosomal RNA is filed under the name uncultured bacterium. RNAcentral describes it as "partial 16S ribosomal RNA". It matches the Rfam family "Bacterial small subunit ribosomal RNA", at positions 524 to 776 of the family's 1533-position model. The record is from RNAcentral.
UACGAAGGGGGCUAGCGUUGCUCGGAAUUACUGGGCGUAAAGGGCGCGUAGGCGGCACUGCUAGUCAGGCGUGAAAUUCCUGGGCUCAACCUGGGGACUGCGCUUGAUACGGCAGAGCUAGAGGAUGGAAGAGGCUCGCGGAAUUCCCAGUGUAGAGGUGAAAUUCGUAGAUAUUGGGAAGAACACCGGUGGCGAAGGCGGCGAGCUGGUCCAUUACUGACGCUGAGGCGCGACAGCGUGGGGAGCAAACAGG